RNAcentral lists this ribosomal RNA (636 nucleotides) under Aspergillus restrictus. RNAcentral describes it as "eukaryotic LSU rRNA". It matches the Rfam family "Eukaryotic large subunit ribosomal RNA", at positions 1 to 649 of the family's 3401-position model. The record is from RNAcentral. Lineage: Eukaryota; Fungi; Ascomycota; Eurotiomycetes; Eurotiales; Aspergillaceae.
GGUUGACCUCGGAUCAGGUAGGGAUACCCGCUGAACUUAAGCAUAUCAAUAAGCGGAGGAAAAGAAACCAACCGGGAUUGCCUCAGUAACGGCGAGUGAAGCGGCAAAAGCUCAAAUUUGAAAUCUGGCUCCUUCGGGGUCCGAGUUGUAAUUUGUAGAGGAUGCUUCGGGUGCGGCCCCCGUCUAAGUGCUCUGGAAUGGGCCAUCAGAGAGGGUGAGAAUCCCGUCUGGGGCGGGGUGUCCGCGUCCGUGUGAAGCUCCUUCGACGAGUCGAGUUGUUUGGGAAUGCAGCUCUAAAUGGGUGGUAAAUUUCAUCUAAAGCUAAAUAUUGGCCGGAGACCGAUAGCGCACAAGUAGAGUGAUCGAAAGAUGAAAAGCACUUUGAAAAGAGAGUUAAAAAGCACGUGAAAUUGUUGAAAGGGAAGCACUUACGACCAGACUCGCUCACGGGGUUCAGCCGGCUUUCGGGCCGGUGUACUUCCCCGGGAGCGGGCCAGCGUCGGUUUGGGCGGCCGGUUAAAGGCCCCUGGAAUGUAACACCCCUCGGGGUGUCUUAUAGCCAGGGGUGCCAUGCGGCCAGCCCAGACCGAGGAACGCGCUUCGGCACGGACGCUGGCAUAAUGGUCGUAAAUGACC